GAGGCCAAUAGCGGAUAUAACUCUCAGGCUGGAGUGCCGAGAGUUAGAAACGUUCCGGCGCUGUAGGAUGUGGCUGCGGCCGAUUAGGUAGAUGGUGGGGUAACGGCCCACCAUGCCGAUAAUCGGUACAGGUUGUGAGAGCAAGAGCCUGGAGACGGUAUCUGAGACAAGAUACCGGGCCCUACGGGGCGCAGCAGGCGCGAAACCUUUACACUGCACGACAGUGCGAUAGGGGGACUCCGAGUGUGAGGGCAUAUAGCCCUCGCUUUUCUGAACCGUAAGGUGGUACAGGAACAAGGACUGGGCAAGACCGGUG
This 316-nucleotide ribosomal RNA is filed under the name halophilic archaeon. RNAcentral's name for it is "bacterial SSU rRNA". It matches the Rfam family "Archaeal small subunit ribosomal RNA", at positions 142 to 457 of the family's 1478-position model. Lineage: Archaea; Methanobacteriati; Methanobacteriota; Halobacteria; Halobacteriales. The record is from RNAcentral.